This 254-nucleotide ribosomal RNA is filed under the name uncultured bacterium. RNAcentral describes it as "partial 16S ribosomal RNA". It matches the Rfam family "Bacterial small subunit ribosomal RNA", at positions 524 to 776 of the family's 1533-position model. The record is from RNAcentral.
GACAGAGGGUGCAAACGUUGUCGUACGAUCACUGGGCGUAAAGGGCGUGUAGGCGGGACGGUAAGUCGGGCGUGAAAUCCCUAGGCUCAACCUAGGAACUGCACUCGAAACUACCAUUCUUGAGUGUCGGAGAGGAAAGCGGAAUUCCUGGUGUAGAGGUGAAAUUCGUAGAUAUCAGGAGGAACACCAGUGGCGAAGGCGGCUUUCUGGACGAUAACUGACGCUGAGACGCGAAAGCGUGGGGAGCAAACAGG